RNAcentral lists this ribosomal RNA (1988 nucleotides) under Salmonella enterica subsp. enterica serovar Infantis. RNAcentral's name for it is "partial 23S ribosomal RNA". It matches the Rfam family "Bacterial large subunit ribosomal RNA", at positions 918 to 2911 of the family's 2925-position model. The record is from RNAcentral. Lineage: Bacteria; Pseudomonadati; Pseudomonadota; Gammaproteobacteria; Enterobacterales; Enterobacteriaceae.
ACUAGGGGUCCUCAUCGGAUUACCGAAUUCAGUCAAACUCCGAAUGCCAAUGACUUAUCCUUAGGAGUCAGACUGCGAGUGAUAAGAUCCGUAGUCAAGAGGGAAACAGCCCAGAUCGCCAGCUAAGGUCCCAAAGUGUGUAUUAAGUGGAAAAGGAUGUGGAGUUGCUUAGACAACUAGGAUGUUGGCUCAGAAGCAGCCACCAUUUAAAGAGUGCGUAAUAGCUCACUAGUCGAGUGACUCUGCGCCGAAAAUGUACCGGGGCUAAAUACACCACCGAAGCUGCGAAUUGAUACCAAUGGUAUCAGUGGUAGGGGAGCGUUCUAAGUGCAGUGAAGUCAGACCGGAAGGACUGGUGGAGCGCUUAGAAGUGAGAAUGCCGGUAUGAGUAGCGAAAGACGGGUGAGAAUCCCGUCCACCGAAUGCCUAAGGUUUCCUGAGGAAGGCUCGUCCGCUCAGGGUUAGUCAGGACCUAAGCCGAGGCCGACAGGCGUAGGCGAUGGACAACAGGUUGAUAUUCCUGUACCACCUCUUUAUCGUUUGAGCAAUGGAGGGACGCAGAAGGAUAGAAGAAGCGUGCGAUUGGUUGUGCACGUCCAAGCAGUUAGGCUGAUAAGUAGGCAAAUCCGCUUAUCGUGAAGGCUGAGCUGUGAUGGGGAAGCUCCUUAUGGAGCGAAGUCUUUGAUUCCCCGCUGCCAAGAAAAGCUUCUAGCGAGAUAAAAGGUGCCUGUACCGCAAACCGACACAGGUAGGCGAGGAGAGAAUCCUAAGGUGUGCGAGAGAACUCUGGUUAAGGAACUCGGCAAAAUGACCCCGUAACUUCGGGAGAAGGGGUGCUUUCUUAACGGAAAGCCGCAGUGAAUAGGCCCAAGCGACUGUUUAGCAAAAACACAGGUCUCUGCGAAGCCGUAAGGCGAAGUAUAGGGGCUGACACCUGCCCGGUGCUGGAAGGUUAAGGAGAGGGGUUAGCGUAAGCGAAGCUCUGAACUGAAGCCCCAGUAAACGGCGGCCGUAACUAUAACGGUCCUAAGGUAGCGAAAUUCCUUGUCGGGUAAGUUCCGACCCGCACGAAAGGUGUAACGAUUUGGGCACUGUCUCAACCAGAGACUCGGUGAAAUUAUAGUACCUGUGAAGAUGCAGGUUACCCGCGACAGGACGGAAAGACCCCGUGGAGCUUUACUGUAGCCUGAUAUUGAAUUUUGGUACAGUUUGUACAGGAUAGGCGGGAGCCAUUGAAACCGGAGCGCUAGCUUCGGUGGAGGCGCUGGUGGGAUACCGCCCUGACUGUAUUGAAAUUCUAACCUACGGGUCUCAUCGACCCGGGAGACAGUGUCAGGUGGGCAGUUUGACUGGGGCGGUCGCCUCCUAAAGUGUAACGGAGGCGCCCAAAGGUUCCCUCAGAAUGGUUGGAAAUCAUUCGUAGAGUGCAAAGGCAUAAGGGAGCUUGACUGCGAGACCUACAAGUCGAGCAGGGACGAAAGUCGGGCUUAGUGAUCCGGUGGUUCCGCAUGGAAGGGCCAUCGCUCAACGGAUAAAAGCUACCCCGGGGAUAACAGGCUUAUCUCCCCCAAGAGUCCACAUCGACGGGGAGGUUUGGCACCUCGAUGUCGGCUCAUCGCAUCCUGGGGCUGUAGUCGGUCCCAAGGGUUGGGCUGUUCGCCCAUUAAAGCGGUACGCGAGCUGGGUUCAGAACGUCGUGAGACAGUUCGGUCCCUAUCCGUCGUGGGCGCAGGAAAUUUGAGAGGAGCUGUCCUUAGUACGAGAGGACCGGGAUGGACGCACCGCUGGUGUACCAGUUGUUCUGCCAAGGGCAUAGCUGGGUAGCUAUGUGCGGAAGGGAUAAGUGCUGAAAGCAUCUAAGCAUGAAGCCCCCCUCAAGAUGAGAUUUCCCAUAGCGUAAGCUAGUAAGAUCCCUGAAAGAUGAUCAGGUUGAUAGGUUCGAGGUGGAAGCAUGGUGACAUGUGGAGCUGACGAAUACUAAUAGAUCG